AGAUGUGCUCGUAGAGUAACCGAGCAGGGUAAUCAAAAGAAUACUCAUAUAAGA
Molecule: non-coding RNA, 54 nt
Filed under: unclassified sequences
Description: 6A RNA
Rfam family: 6A RNA
About the family: Actinobacteria (1 example), Firmicutes, Fusobacteria. Terminator (Clostridia)
Source: Rfam by way of RNAcentral